UACGUAGGGUGCGAGCGUUGUCCGGAAUUAUUGGGCGUAAAGAGCGUGUAGGCGGCCAGGUAGGUCUGCUGUGAAAACUCGAGGCUCAACCUCGAGACGUCGGCGGAAACCAUCUGGCUAGAGUCCGGAAGAGGAGAGUGGAAUUCCUGGUGUAGCGGUGAAAUGCGCAGAUAUCAGGAAGAACACCCGUGGCGAAGGCGGCUCUCUGGGACGGUACUGACGCUGAGACGCGAAAGCGUGGGUAGCAAACAGG
This 253-nucleotide ribosomal RNA is filed under the name uncultured bacterium. RNAcentral describes it as "partial 16S ribosomal RNA". It matches the Rfam family "Bacterial small subunit ribosomal RNA", at positions 524 to 776 of the family's 1533-position model. The record is from RNAcentral.